This 85-nucleotide transfer RNA is filed under the name Promethearchaeum syntrophicum. RNAcentral's name for it is "tRNA-Leu (CAA) (tRNA-Leu-CAA-1-1)". It matches the Rfam family "tRNA". Rfam says of the family: Transfer RNA (tRNA) molecules are approximately 80 nucleotides in length. Their secondary structure includes four short double-helical elements and three loops (D, anti-codon, and T loops). The record is from RNAcentral. Lineage: Archaea; Promethearchaeati; Promethearchaeota; Promethearchaeia; Promethearchaeales; Promethearchaeaceae.
GCAGGGAUAGCCAAGCCUGGUCAACGGCGCCGGACUCAAGAUCCGGUUCCACAGGGAUACGUGCGUUCGAAUCGCACUCCCUGCA